Molecule: long non-coding RNA, 1269 nt
Filed under: Anas platyrhynchos platyrhynchos (common mallard)
Lineage: Eukaryota; Metazoa; Chordata; Aves; Anseriformes; Anatidae
Description: lncRNA (ENSAPLG00000019667.1)
Source: RNAcentral
GAAACAGAAGUAUAUUAGUAUAUUAUUUGCAUAAAAAGCUCCCUUCUUAGUCACUGGUAUUUUUCAGUAUCAGGUAGUACUGUAUUUUGUCUUGAGAAUGAUCUGGAAUACAAAAAUCUUGUGAUUACUUUGCUCUAUUUCACAUUUUUCCUUACUGAAGAGUGAGUGGUUGCAGCAGCAUCCUGGGUCAGGCAUUUGAAGGGCUGGGGAAGUGGCAGGGCUUACCACCUGACUACCAUGAGGAUGAUGCAGAGAACCUUCCAGAACACCCACUUCUGCUUGUCACCAGGAUACUGCAGGAACUGAAGCCAGCCACAGUCAGGUGUUCUCUGCCCAGUCCUGCCACUGGCCUGGGGCCACUGUGGGGGUGACCCAGUGCAGCUGCUGUGAGGGCCUGCCACAGCACCUGAGGGAUGAUGGCCCACCCCUGGCAAGUGCAGUCCAGCUGGGACCACUGUGCUCACUGGUUGCUGUCCUCCCUGAGUGCCUCGGCCUUCCCUAUAGGACAGAAACUAUGCAUCUUGACUGUGAAGCUCUUCUGAGUGAAUCUAAUGUUGUCCCAGCCACAACUUGCAGCCAGACAUACUGUAUGUAAGAGUACUGUGUAUUUGGACCUUAUCUAGACAUACAAACCUGGAAGAAGAACAUCAGGUAGCAGAUAUCACACUGUUCCCUAUUCCUGAUUUCUAAGUUCUUGACAUUCAAACUGAAAUAGUAGUUUUGAAAUUCAUUUUUUCUCAAAAUUUAUGUAUCUGAAAAUUGUCCCAGAUGGUGAACAUCUGGCAUAAAAUCUUGACAUAGGUAUCUGUAGGCAUCUCAUUAAUGCAGUAUUUUUAUGGUCAUCUGUGUUUGUGAAUUCCUAUUCUCGGGGGUCUUUUAAGUUAGUAUAGCAUACAGGGCUGGAGUAUGUUUCUUCAUAGGUUAUUACUAAACAGUAUUAUCUAACCAUUUGAAAUCUUACUGGUAUGGAGAAAACAUCUUAUUAUUACCCUGCUAACUACAUAGCAUCUCGUCAGUUUUUAAAUUGUAAUUGUAAUGUGUGUAAUGUGAUUGUGUUAGUGUUGUAAGGAUGCCAGAUUUACCAAGCUACUUUAUGACAAGUACAAAGAAAUAGAUGUGUAUUAAAAGACUAAAACUUUUUCUGAAACAUGGUUAAGCUUUCCACUGUUAAACCAUCUCCAUUGUAAACUUCCUCAGAGGUCAGGAUUUGAGAUAUGAGCAGCUGUUUCAUUCCUGAAAUUUCCAGUAGGAAUUUAAGCCUAACAGAAC